GGGUUGUGAGGUUAAGCGACUAAGCGUACACGGUGGAUGCCCUGGCAGUCAGAGGCGAUGAAGGACGUGCUAAUCUGCGAUAAGCGUCGGUAAGGUGAUAUGAACCGUUAUAACCGGCGAUUUCCGAAUGGGGAAACCCAGUGUGAUUCGUCACACUAUCAUUAACUGAAUCCAUAGGUUAAUGAGGCGAACCGGGGGAACUGAAACAUCUAAGUACCCCGAGGAAAAGAAAUCAACCGAGAUUCCCCCAGUAGCGGCGAGCGAACGGGGAGCAGCCCAGAGCCUGAAUCAGUGUGUGUGUUAGUGGAAGCGUCUGGAAAGGCGCGCGAUACAGGGUGACAGCCCCGUACACAAAAAUGCACAUGCUGUGAGCUCGAUGAGUAGGGCGGGACACGUGGUAUCCUGUCUGAAUAUGGGGGGACCAUCCUCCAAGGCUAAAUACUCCUGACUGACCGAUAGUGAACCAGUACCGUGAGGGAAAGGCGAAAAGAACCCCGGCGAGGGGAGUGAAAAAGAACCUGAAACCGUGUACGUACAAGCAGUGGGAGCACAGAGCAAUCUGUGUGACUGCGUACCUUUUGUAUAAUGGGUCAGCGACUUAUAUUCUGUAGCAAGGUUAACCGAAUAGGGGAGCCGAAGGGAAACCGAGUCUUAACUGGGCGUUAAGUUGCAGGGUAUAGACCCGAAACCCGGUGAUCUAGCCAUGGGCAGGUUGAAGGUUGGGUAACACUAACUGGAGGACCGAACCGACUAAUGUUGAAAAAUUAGCGGAUGACUUGUGGCUGGGGGUGAAAGGCCAAUCAAACCGGGAGAUAGCUGGUUCUCCCCGAAAGCUAUUUAGGUAGCGCCUCGUGAAUUCAUCUCCGGGGGUAGAGCACUGUUUCGGCAAGGGGGUCAUCCCGACUUACCAACCCGAUGCAAACUGCGAAUACCGGAGAAUGUUAUCACGGGAGACACACGGCGGGUGCUAACGUCCGUCGUGAAGAGGGAAACAACCCAGACCGCCAGCUAAGGUCCCAAAGUCAUGGUUAAGUGGGAAACGAUGUGGGAAGGCCCAGACAGCCAGGAUGUUGGCUUAGAAGCAGCCAUCAUUUAAAGAAAGCGUAAUAGCUCACUGGUCGAGUCGGCCUGCGCGGAAGAUGUAACGGGGCUAAACCAUGCACCGAAGCUGCGGCAGCGACGCUUAUGCGUUGUUGGGUAGGGGAGCGUUCUGUAAGCCUGUGAAGGUGUACUGUGAGGUAUGCUGGAGGUAUCAGAAGUGCGAAUGCUGACAUAAGUAACGAUAAAGCGGGUGAAAAGCCCGCUCGCCGGAAGACCAAGGGUUCCUGUCCAACGUUAAUCGGGGCAGGGUGAGUCGACCCCUAAGGCGAGGCCGAAAGGCGUAGUCGAUGGGAAACAGGUUAAUAUUCCUGUACUUGGUGUUACUGCGAAGGGGGGACGGAGAAGGCUAUGUUGGCCGGGCGGCGGUUGUCCCGGUUUAAGCGUGUAGGCUGGUUUUCCAGGCAAAUCCGGAAAAUCAAGGCUGAGGCGUGAUGACGAGGCACUACGGUGCUGAAGCAACAAAUGCCCUGCUUCCAGGAAAAGCCUCUAAGCAUCAGGUAACAUCAAAUCGUACCCCAAACCGACACAGGUGGUCAGGUAGAGAAUACCAAGGCGCUUGAGAGAACUCGGGUGAAGGAACUAGGCAAAAUGGUGCCGUAACUUCGGGAGAAGGCACGCUGAUAUGUAGGUGAAGUCCCUCGCGGAUGGAGCUGAAAUCAGUCGAAGAUACCAGCUGGCUGCAACUGUUUAUUAAAAACACAGCACUGUGCAAACACGAAAGUGGACGUAUACGGUGUGACGCCUGCCCGGUGCCGGAAGGUUAAUUGAUGGGGUCAGCGCAAGCGAAGCUCUUGAUCGAAGCCCCGGUAAACGGCGGCCGUAACUAUAACGGUCCUAAGGUAGCGAAAUUCCUUGUCGGGUAAGUUCCGACCUGCACGAAUGGCGUAAUGAUGGCCAGGCUGUCUCCACCCGAGACUCAGUGAAAUUGAACUCGCUGUGAAGAUGCAGUGUACCCGCGGCAAGACGGAAAGACCCCGUGAACCUUUACUAUAGCUUGACACUGAACAUUGAGCCUUGAUGUGUAGGAUAGGUGGGAGGCUUGGAAGUGUGGACGCCAGUCUGCAUGGAGCCGACCUUGAAAUACCACCCUUUAAUGUUUGAUGUUCUAACGUUGACCCGUAAUCCGGGUUGCGGACAGUGUCUGGUGGGUAGUUUGACUGGGGCGGUCUCCUCCUAAAGAGUAACGGAGGAGCACGAAGGUUGGCUAAUCCUGGUCGGACAUCAGGAGGUUAGUGCAAUGGCAUAAGCCAGCUUGACUGCGAGCGUGACGGCGCGAGCAGGUGCGAAAGCAGGUCAUAGUGAUCCGGUGGUUCUGAAUGGAAGGGCCAUCGCUCAACGGAUAAAAGGUACUCCGGGGAUAACAGGCUGAUACCGCCCAAGAGUUCAUAUCGACGGCGGUGUUUGGCACCUCGAUGUCGGCUCAUCACAUCCUGGGGCUGAAGUAGGUCCCAAGGGUAUGGCUGUUCGCCAUUUAAAGUGGUACGCGAGCUGGGUUUAGAACGUCGUGAGACAGUUCGGUCCCUAUCUGCCGUGGGCGCUGGAGAACUGAGGGGGGCUGCUCCUAGUACGAGAGGACCGGAGUGGACGCAUCACUGGUGUUCGGGUUGUCAUGCCAAUGGCACUGCCCGGUAGCUAAAUGCGGAAGAGAUAAGUGCUGAAAGCAUCUAAGCACGAAACUUGCCCCGAGAUGAGUUCUCCCUGACUCCUUGAGAGUCCUGAAGGAACGUUGAAGACGACGACGUUGAUAGGCCGGGUGUGUAAGCGCAGCGAUGCGUUGAGCUAACCGGUACUAAUGAACCGUGAGGCUUAACCUUACAACGCCGAAGGUGUUU
This 2933-nucleotide ribosomal RNA is filed under the name Escherichia coli. RNAcentral's name for it is "23S ribosomal RNA". It matches the Rfam family "Bacterial large subunit ribosomal RNA". The record is from RNAcentral. Lineage: Bacteria; Pseudomonadati; Pseudomonadota; Gammaproteobacteria; Enterobacterales; Enterobacteriaceae.